UCCCGGCUAGCUCAGUCGGUAGAGCGUCAGACUCUUAUCCAGGGCCUCUGCGAUCGAUCGCAGUAACAAAUCUGAAUGUCGUGGGUUCGAGCCCCACGUUGGGAG
Molecule: transfer RNA, 105 nt
Filed under: Pseudozyma flocculosa
Lineage: Eukaryota; Fungi; Basidiomycota; Ustilaginomycetes; Ustilaginales; Ustilaginaceae
Also listed under: 1 other name
Rfam family: tRNA
About the family: Transfer RNA (tRNA) molecules are approximately 80 nucleotides in length. Their secondary structure includes four short double-helical elements and three loops (D, anti-codon, and T loops).
Source: Rfam by way of RNAcentral